Molecule: ribosomal RNA, 495 nt
Filed under: uncultured bacterium
Lineage: Bacteria
Description: partial 16S ribosomal RNA
Rfam family: Bacterial small subunit ribosomal RNA
Source: RNAcentral
GAUGAACGCUGGCGGCGUGCCUAAUACAUGCAAGUCGAGCGAACAGACGAGGAGCUUGCUCCUCUGACGUUAGCGGCGGACGGGUGAGUAACACGUGGAUAACCUACCUAUAAGACUGGGAUAACUUCGGGAAACCGGAGCUAAUACCGGAUAAUAUAUUGAACCGCAUGGUUCAAUAGUGAAAGACGGUUUUGCUGUCACUUAUAGAUGGAUCCGCGCCGCAUUAGCUAGUUGGUAAGGUAACGGCUUACCAAGGCAACGAUGCGUAGCCGACCUGAGAGGGUGAUCGGCCACACUGGAACUGAGACACGGUCCAGACUCCUACGGGAGGCAGCAGUAGGGAAUCUUCCGCAAUGGGCGAAAGCCUGACGGAGCAACGCCGCGUGAGUGAUGAAGGUCGUCGGAUCGUAAAACUCUGUUAUUAGGGAAGAACAAAUGUGUAAGUAACUAUGCACGUCUUGACGGUACCUAAUCAGAAAGCCACGGCUAACUACG